UGGGGAAUUGUUCGCAAUGGGCGCAAGCCUGACGACGCAACGCCGCGUGGAGGAUGAAGACCUUCGGGUCGUAAACUCCUUUCGAUCGAGACGAACGGUCUCCGGGUGAAUACUCCGGGGAAGUGACGGUACCGAGAGAAGAAGCCCCGGCUAACUCCGUGCCAGCAGCCGCGGUAAUACGGGGGGGGCAAGCGUUGUUCGGAAUUACUGGGCGUAAAGGGCUCGUAGGCGGCCAACUAAGUCAGACGUGAAAUCCCUCGGCUUAACCGGGGAACUGCGUCUGAUACUGGAUGGCUUGAGUUCGGGAGAGGGAUGCGGAAUUCCAGGUGUAGCGGUGAAAUGCGUAGAUAUCUGGAGGAACACCGGUGGCGAAGGCGGCAUCCUGGACCGACACUGACGCUGAUGAGCGAAAGCCAGGGGAGCAAACGGGAUUAGAUACCCCGGUAGUCCUGGCCCUAAACGAUGAAUGCUUGGUGUGGCGGGUAUCGAUCCCUGCCGUGCCGAAGCUAACGCAUUAAGCAUUCCGCCUGGGGAGUACGGUCGCAAGGCUG
This 551-nucleotide ribosomal RNA is filed under the name uncultured bacterium. RNAcentral's name for it is "bacterial SSU rRNA". It matches the Rfam family "Bacterial small subunit ribosomal RNA", at positions 355 to 896 of the family's 1533-position model. The record is from RNAcentral.